This 55-nucleotide small RNA is filed under the name Paenibacillus alvei TS-15. Its description in RNAcentral is "Streptococcus sRNA SpF59 (ldcC RNA)". It matches the Rfam family "Streptococcus sRNA SpF59 (ldcC RNA)". Lineage: Bacteria; Bacillati; Bacillota; Bacilli; Caryophanales; Paenibacillaceae. The record is from Rfam by way of RNAcentral.
UGACCACUUCCUCUCUGGAAGUUAAGGCCAUACGGACAGCCGGGUCAAAUGCCGA